Long non-coding RNA from Balaenoptera ricei (Rice's whale), 717 nucleotides. RefSeq lists it as uncharacterized. The record is from RefSeq and is a predicted model, not a curated record. NCBI's taxonomy places the organism in Eukaryota, Metazoa, Chordata, Mammalia, Artiodactyla, Balaenopteridae. The transcript has 4 exons.
AUGAUUCUGGCAUGGCAAGGCUCCUAAACCCACAGCACUCCCCAGGAGCCGUAGUGACGAGUCCAUGAAAUCCUGAGAAUUCGCUCUAAUAUGCCUCAAUCUGGAAAGAAGCAACCUGAAAGGAUGUCCCAGCCGGAAAACUGAGCCAACAUAAGUAACGACUGAAAGAGGACAAGCUCCCCAUGAAGGGCUGCUCUGUAGAGCGUGACUGUCCUCAGUCCUUGGAGGGUGAAGGCAGUGGAGAAGCAGAGACCAGAUGGGAUGAAAAGAAGGAUUUGCCAGUGCGGGCUGUCAUACAUUCCUGUCAAUUAUUAGAUCUCUUCUUUGAAAGAUGAUGACAGAGUGGGUCACCUGGAAAGAUCUGCCAAACACAGUGAAGACCGCAAAUCAAAGGAACAGCAUCAGAAAGAUCAGUCUGAUAAACUAGGAUGGUUGUUCUCAAACUUUUGUAUCAGGAUCACUAGAAAGCUUGUUAAAACAAGUUCUCUGGGCCUCACCUUUGGAGUUUCUGUGUCUGUAGGUCUGGCAUAGGGACAGAAUAUCUGGAUUUCUAGGUGGUUCCCAGCUGAAAUCAAUGGAAUUUGAUUACUAUCAUCUGUAUUGAUUUUAGAAAAGCUUUUGAAAAAUCUUUUUGUAAUACCCCUUUGGUCAAGAUUUUUCCAGUAUUAAUCCAUAAUUAAUUUAUUCAUUCAAUAAACAAUUCACUCAGCAAAUUGU